UACAGAGGUCCCAAGCGUUGUUCGGAUUCACUGGGCGUAAAGGGUGCGUAGGUGGUCAGGUAAGUCGGAUGUGAAAUCUCCGAGCUCAACUCGGAAACUGCAUUGGAAACUACCUGGCUCGAGGGUUGGAGGGGGGACUGGAAUGCUUGGUGUAACAGUGAAAUGCGUAGAUAUCAAGCGGAACACCAGUGGCGAAGGCGAGUCCCUGGACAACUCCUGACACUGAUGCACGAAAGCUAGGGGAGCAAACAGG
Molecule: ribosomal RNA, 253 nt
Filed under: uncultured bacterium
Lineage: Bacteria
Description: partial 16S ribosomal RNA
Rfam family: Bacterial small subunit ribosomal RNA
Source: RNAcentral